Molecule: ribosomal RNA, 497 nt
Filed under: uncultured bacterium
Lineage: Bacteria
Description: partial 16S ribosomal RNA
Rfam family: Bacterial small subunit ribosomal RNA
Source: RNAcentral
GACGAACGCUGGCGGCGUGCCUAAUACAUGCAAGUUGAGCGCUGAAGGUUGGUACUUGUACCAACUGGAUGAGCAGCGAACGGGCGAGUAACGCGUGGGGAAUCUGCCUUUGAGCGGGGGACAACAUUUGGAAACGAAUGCUAAUACCGCAUAAAAACUUUAAACACAAGUUUUAAGUUUGAAAGAUGCAAUUGCAUCACUCAAAGAUGAUCCCGCGUUGUAUUAGCUAGUUGGUGAGGUAAAGGCUCACCAAGGCGAUGAUACAUAGUCGACCUGAGAGGGUGAUCGGCCACAUUGGGACUGAGACACGGCCCAAACUCCUACGGGAGGCAGCAGUAGGGAAUCUUCGGCAAUGGACGAAAGUCUGACCGAGCAACGCCGCGUGAGUGAAGAAGGUUUUCGGAUCGUAAAACUCGGUUGGUAGAGAAGAACGUUGGUGAGAGUGGAAAGCUCAUCAAGUGACGGUAACUACCCAGAAAGGGACGGCUAACUACGUG